This is a long non-coding RNA of Lacerta agilis (Sand lizard), 410 nucleotides long. RefSeq lists it as uncharacterized. The record is from RefSeq and is a predicted model, not a curated record. NCBI's taxonomy places the organism in Eukaryota, Metazoa, Chordata, Lepidosauria, Squamata, Lacertidae. The transcript is spliced from 2 exons.
UGGACUAUUUUUCUUUUAGUUGCAAUGAACGUUAACUCCAGGUGUGCCACACAGCAGAUGACAGGAAAGGGGGGCAAUGAGAGACAGAAGCCAUGGCUGCCUCAUCUCCUUUUGCGUCAGGCAACUUAAAGUCUGACUGACAGACUGGAUGCAGAGCUGCUUGGAAGAUACCUGCACAGCCUGUCAAACAUCUUUCCAAACUUGUCAUUCCAGCCGAGUGCUUGUGCAAAGCAUCCAACAUCACCCACUUAUAAUCUUAGAUUUCACUUCAGAGCCGACUGCCAGGAUAUAGGUGCAUGAGUGUGUGCAAGCUCUGACCUUAUGCCAUAUGAACCCAUAAUGAAUGAAAAAUGUGCUUGCAUUGCCUCUUCGUGCCAUAUCCCCCAAUAUAAAAGGAAUUUGAAAGCUAA